RNAcentral lists this ribosomal RNA (543 nucleotides) under Staphylococcus aureus. RNAcentral's name for it is "partial 23S ribosomal RNA". It matches the Rfam family "Bacterial large subunit ribosomal RNA", at positions 905 to 1452 of the family's 2925-position model. The record is from RNAcentral. Lineage: Bacteria; Bacillati; Bacillota; Bacilli; Caryophanales; Staphylococcaceae.
GAGCACUGUUUGGACGAGGGGCCCCUCUCGGGUUACCGAAUUCAGACAAACUCCGAAUGCCAAUUAAUUUAACUUGGGAGUCAGAACAUGGGUGAUAAGGUCCGUGUUCGAAAGGGAAACAGCCCAGACCACCAGCUAAGGUCCCAAAAUAUAUGUUAAGUGGAAAAGGAUGUGGCGUUGCCCAGACAACUAGGAUGUUGGCUUAGAAGCAGCCAUCAUUUAAAGAGUGCGUAAUAGCUCACUAGUCGAGUGACACUGCGCCGAAAAUGUACCGGGGCUAAACAUAUUACCGAAGCUGUGGAUUGUCCUUUGGACAAUGGUAGGAGAGCGUUCUAAGGGCGUUGAAGCAUGAUCGUAAGGACAUGUGGAGCGCUUAGAAGUGAGAAUGCCGGUGUGAGUAGCGAAAGACGGGUGAGAAUCCCGUCCACCGAUUGACUAAGGUUUCCAGAGGAAGGCUCGUCCGCUCUGGGUUAGUCGGGUCCUAAGCUGAGGCCGACAGGCGUAGGCGAUGGAUAACAGGUUGAUAUUCCUGUACCACCUAUA